UACGGGGGGGGCAAGCGUUGUUCGGAAUUACUGGGCGUAAAGGGCUCGUAGGCGGCCAACUAAGUCGGACGUGAAAUCCCCAGGCUCAACCUGGGAACUGCGUCCGAUACUGGAUGGCUUGAAUCCGGGAGAGGGAUGCAGAAUUCCAGGUGUAGCGGUGAAAUGCGUAGAUAUUGGGAGGAACACCAGUGGCGAAGGCGGCUCACUGGACCGGUACUGACGCUGAUGCGCGAAAGCGUGGGGAGCAAACAGG
Molecule: ribosomal RNA, 253 nt
Filed under: uncultured bacterium
Lineage: Bacteria
Description: partial 16S ribosomal RNA
Rfam family: Bacterial small subunit ribosomal RNA
Source: RNAcentral